UUACCUGGUUGAUCCUGCCAGUAGUCAUAUGCUUGUCUCAAAGAUUAAGCCAUGCAUGUCUAAGUACAGGCCGAACCAAGGCGAAACCGCGAAUGGCUCAUUAAAUCAGUUAUGGUUCAUUGGAUCUUACCUUGUUUUACUUGGAUAACUGUGGUAAUUCUAGAGCUAAUACGUGACACCCCAGCUCCGACCGCAAGGAAAGAGCGCUUUUAUUAGAUCAAAACCAAUCGGGCUUCGGUCCGUUCUCACUGUGGUGACUCUGAAUAACUUUGAGCUGAGCGCAUGGUCUUCGAACCGGCGCCAUAUCCUUCAAGUGUCUGCCUUAUCAGCUUUCGAUUGUAGGUUAUGCGCCUACAAUGGCUAUAACGGGUAACGGGGAAUCAGGGUUCGAUUCCGGAGAGGGAGCCUGAGAAACGGCUACCACAUCUAAGGAAGGCAGCAGGCACGCAAAUUACCCACUCCCGGCUCGGGGAGGUAGUGACGAAAAAUAACGAUGCGGGACUCUUCCGAGGCCUCGCAAUCGGAAUGAGCACACUUUAAAUCCUUUAACGAGGAUCUAUUGGAGGGCAAGUCUGGUGCCAGCAGCCGCGGUAAUUCCAGCUCCAAUAGCGUAUAUUAAAGUUGCUGCGGUUAAAAAGCUCGUAGUUGGAUCUCAGUUCCGGACCGACGGUUCACCGCCCGGUGCUUACUGUCGGCUUCCGAACAGCCGCACGCCGGCUCGGCCAGGGUGCUCUUCAUCGAGUGUCCUGGUUUCGGCCGGCACGUUUACUUUGAAAAAAUUAGAGUGCUCAGCGCAGGCUGCAACGCCUGAAUAAUCUGUGCAUGGAAUAAUGGAAUAGGACCUCGGUUCUAUUUUGUUGGUUUUCGGAACCCGAGGUAAUGAUUAAUAGGAACUGUCGGGGGCAUUCGUAUUGCGACGUUAGAGGUGAAAUUCUUGGAUCGUCGCAAGACGGACUACUGCGAAAGCAUUUGCCAAGAAUGUUUUCAUUAAUCAAGAACGAAAGUUAGAGGUUCGAAGGCGAUCAGAUACCGCCCUAGUUCUAACCAUAAACGAUGCCAACCAGCGAUCCGCCGGCGUUAUUCCCAUGACUCGGCGGGCAGCUUCCGGGAAACCAAAGUCUCUGGGUUCCGGGGGAAGUAUGGUUGCAAAGCUGAAACUUAAAGGAAUUGACGGAAGGGCACCACCAGGAGUGGAGCCUGCGGCUUAAUUUGACUCAACACGGGGAACCUCACCAGGCCCGGACACCGGAAGGAUUGACAGAUUGAGAGCUCUUUCUCGAUUCGGUGGGUGGUGGUGCAUGGCCGUUCUUAGUUGGUGGAGCGAUUUGUCUGGUUAAUUCCGAUAC
RNAcentral lists this ribosomal RNA (1346 nucleotides) under Iberobathynella sp. 4 ABI-2015. RNAcentral's name for it is "SSU rRNA". It matches the Rfam family "Eukaryotic small subunit ribosomal RNA", at positions 1 to 1332 of the family's 1831-position model. Lineage: Eukaryota; Metazoa; Arthropoda; Malacostraca; Bathynellacea; Parabathynellidae. The record is from RNAcentral.